Molecule: long non-coding RNA, 393 nt
Organism: Eleginops maclovinus (Patagonian blennie)
Lineage: Eukaryota; Metazoa; Chordata; Actinopteri; Perciformes; Eleginopidae
Exons: 3
Source: RefSeq, a predicted model, not a curated record
CGCCUCCUGUACCUAUUCGCUCUGCUAUCGUGUGAAGGGUCUGCUAACAAGCGACCAAACAGAAAGGGAGACCUUACGAGAAAAAGAGAAGAGGACGUUGGAAUAACAUUAGAAGACGCGGACACUUAAAAGGCUUCUUUGCUGGGGACUCUCAGAGACUCACUGAAGUCUGACCCCUCCCAUCUGAGAGAUCUGGACCUGAGUCUUAACCAUCUGCAGGAUUAAGGAGUGGAGCUGCUGAGUUCUGGACUAAAGAGUCCAAACUGCAGACUGGAGGCUUUCAGUCUGAGGAACUGCAGUCUGUCAGAGAUCAGCUGUGCUGCUCUGGCCUCAGCUCUGAAGUCCAACCCCUCCCACCUGAGAGAGCUGGACCUGAGUUACAACGCUCUGCAG